Molecule: long non-coding RNA, 2171 nt
Filed under: Daucus carota (carrot)
Lineage: Eukaryota; Viridiplantae; Streptophyta; Magnoliopsida; Apiales; Apiaceae
Description: long non-coding RNA (DCAR_LNC005417)
Source: RNAcentral
UGGAGGCUGUUUAGGGGGGCUGUGUUGUGGAAGAUGUUGACGCGGCGGCUCGGGAAGAGAGGCGGUGGAGUCCGGCAAGGUGGACCGAGAGGUAGGCGGCGGAGUCCGGCAAGGUGGAGAUGGAGGGGGAGAGAGAGACUCUGUUAUGAGGCCAGCUGAAAAUCACCAUCUGGGUUCUCCCAUCAAUGAAAAGGGUCAAUCCCGACCUCCCCAUUCCCAUCAUCUUUAUGUAUAUGUUAUUCAAGAAAUAAUGGUCUCCCCACCUGGAAUAAGAAGUGUGACAACAAAGAUACAUUAGUAUUGCAUUUGAAACUUACCACCAACCCAGCAGUGUCACUUGCUUACAGUGCGAGAAUGGCCGGCAUCCAGAGAUUUACUCACACAAGGUUUGUGGCUUCACCAAAAAAAACAACGAGAACAAUNCUUGUCCCUCUGUCAAGCGCGUUUGGGUGCCCAAGGUUCACAAUGAUCAGCCCUCUGUUCAGAAUGAUCAACCCCCUGCUGCAGAUACAGCUGCUAUGCCUAAUACCACUGUGGAGCAUCAAGCUAACAAGCCUCCUUCUUUUGAGCUUUUUGUUGAGCUUACUGGUGAGUCAUUUGCUAAGGGCACAUCUGUCGCAGCACCUGUGCCGGCUGCUACUGUUGAUAAACCGGAGGAAUGGACCACUGUCAAAGGCAAGAAAUCUAGUCCUCCUAAGACUCGUAGCCAGUAUAUAUACAAAUAUUUAUAUUAAACUACAAAUAUUUGUAAUUUUGUAAAGAAAACUAUAUUCGACGGGAUAUGUUUGUGUAUUACUCCUGGUUUACACUACAGGAAAACAGGACAUAACCGACCACCAAAAUCGGUCGGUUAUGAACGAAAUCGGUCGGUUAUAAGCCUAAAACCGACCGAUAACAGUGGUCGGUUAAACCUUGGUCGGUUACGUCAAUUGGUCGUGUUUAACCCAUAAAACCGACCGAAGGGGUGGUCGGUUAUGUGCUGUUGUAUUCCCAGAAAAAUGGGCCCACUUGUUGCCACAUGUCACCACGUGGCAACACGUGUCAGAACACGUCAGAAGCGAGCCUUAAAACCGACCGACAGAAGUGGUCGGUUAUGUUCCUUUUUCAUUGUUGACUUUGACAUAAAACCGACCGUGGUCAAACCUUCUGACAGGUCGGUUAUAUCCGGUCGGUUAUGACAUGGUCGGUUUUAAAACAGUACGCUUGGUAAUUUUUAAAACCGACCACCACAUAACCGACCGUGGCAGAAAGGAAGUGGUCGGUUUUCUAGGAGAGUGAUCAAGAAUGUGGUCGAUUUUAUACUAAGGUGGUCGGUUUUAUGGUCAUAUUAUGGUAAAAAACGGUCGGUUAUAAUCACCAUCGGUCGGUUUUAUUUGUUGCCACAUCACCAAGGUCGACGUCGUUUUGUGAUUUCGACGGGUUAAAACCGACCACGCGACCGUUGGUCGGUUUUAUAUGCGGCGGUCGGUUUUGUGCGGUCGGUUUUGACCUGUUUUCUUGUAGUGUUAGUAGUUUGAAUUUUUUUAAAAUAAUUAUUGAUGAUCCAACCUUAUAGAUGUUAAGAUGUAUAUAAUUUAGUCAUAUUAUUUUGAAUAAAUAUUAAACUUAUAGGAUUUGAAAUUAUAACAGUCAACUGAUAAUCUGACUAUUACAUCUAAAUGGUGUAUACUCCGGUUUAUUAGUUUGAUUUUUUUAAAAAAGAUUAUCGAUGAUCCAGCCUUAUAGAUGUUAAGAUCAAUAUAUUUUAAUCAUAUUCUCGAAAUUUCAACAAAUAUUAAAUUUAUAUGAUUUGAGAUUUUAAUAGUCAACUGAUUAUUUGACUAUUACAUAUAAAUCGUGUAUACUCGUGGUUUGGUAGUUUGAAUUUUUUAAAAAUAAUUAUCGAUGAUCUAACCUUACAAGAUGUUAAGAUUGAUUAAUUUUAGUCAUAUUUCUAAAAUUUUGACCAAUAUCAAAUUAAUAUGAUUUGAGAUUAUAAGAGNNNNNNNNNNNNNNCUUUAUGUAUAUGUUAUUCAAGAAAUAAUGGUCUCCCCACCUGGAAUAAGAAGUGUGACAACAAAGAUACAUUAGUAUUGCAUUUGAAACUUACCACCAACCCAGCAGUGUCACUUGCUUACAGUGCGAGAAUGGCCGGCAUCCAGAGAUUUACUCACACAAGGUUUGUGGCUUCA